AAAGCAGGCUGCUCACAGGGGAUCGAUUAGCAACAUCUGGCUGUGCAGAAGAUGUUCACUGUGGCGUAUGCGGAACUGAAGAUGAGAGCCAUAAUUGUAUAUUCUUUCGGUGUCUGUUCUCAUCUCAGGUGUGGCAGAAGGUACUCUGUUGGCAAAGUAUCCAUAGGGAGGGGCUCGAGGAUGGGAAUAGGAAAUAACUCGAGUAAAUGCCUAACGCAAAAGCAAGCAAGCAAGAGCUGAGGUAUAUAGGAUGGCACUGGCUGCAAGUGCUUAUCUUAUUUGGCAGGAGAGGAACCAACGAAUUUUCCGAAAGAUAACAAGAACCCCUGCAAUGCUGGCAAAACAGGUUGUUCAAGAGGUACAUAUAAGAGGAAGAACAAAACCAAGACUAAGCUAUGUAUUGUAAACUCUGAAUUUCUACCCUGUGAUAGUGAUA
Molecule: unclassified non-coding RNA, 436 nt
Filed under: Hevea brasiliensis (rubber tree)
Lineage: Eukaryota; Viridiplantae; Streptophyta; Magnoliopsida; Malpighiales; Euphorbiaceae
Source: RNAcentral